This 897-nucleotide long non-coding RNA is filed under the name Bos taurus (domestic cattle). RNAcentral's name for it is "long non-coding RNA NONBTAT017890". The record is from RNAcentral. Lineage: Eukaryota; Metazoa; Chordata; Mammalia; Artiodactyla; Bovidae.
AGACAGGGGCAGCACCCCCUGUUUGCUGCCUUUCCAGGGAGGGCAGCACGAGAAAGAAAGAGGGAGGCAAGCGAAAUUCCUGAAUGGAUAGACAGAUGCUACGUCAUCGGAGCCGCAUCCUCCACUCCACAAGAGGCUAGGAGCCGGAGAAAGAGGCAGGCCAGCGGCAGGGGCCACCGAGCCAGCGCGCCUCCUCCCAGAAGCCGGAGCAGAGCAUCGGAGAAGAAGCAGCCUCAUUUGCUUCUGGUGUCAUCGUAGGUGUCCACCUUUGGCUUUGGGGGAACCUUCCUGACCCAGGGAUUGAACUUGCCUCUCCUGCUUCUCCUGUAUCGGCAGGCAGAUUCUUUACCACUGAGCCACCUGGGAAGCCCUACUAGCUGCGUGGCCUUAGGAAAUUUCAUGAUCUUGCUUAUUCCUGUCUUGGAAAAUCCUUUCCAAUGUCUAACCAAGAUCUGUACUGCUGAAGUACCAGUUCUUUGACCUAUGGCUUGACAUGGCUGAUUUGAGAGGUACAGCUUCCCACCACCCAGGAAGGAAGGAACUGGCCUGGAUUUUGGCAACCUCUUGCUUGUACCAAAAAGAAGAACCUACUUCAUCCAGUUGGCUUCAGUGCCCUGUGAGAAGCCUUCCUGAUUGACGGAAAGAUGAGACUAAAUUCUAGCAAGUUGAGUGGCUCCUUCAAGAAGCCUGUGUGCAGGGUAGAAGUGGAGAGGCCAUAGCCUCCAGCCUGGGCAGCCCAUUGGCACCUGGAGCCACCUCAACUUUGCCUCCCCUUUGCUCCUGUGUCUAUAAGCUGCCCAGCCCAGCCCGUCCUGGUUUCUCCUGUGUCUUCUGAGCUGAGAUUUCUCUGAGAUGGAAGCCCCAUCCCAUGUCUAAUAAAGACUCUUGAAUACUGAA